RNAcentral lists this ribosomal RNA (881 nucleotides) under Desulfosporosinus acididurans. Its description in RNAcentral is "bacterial SSU rRNA". It matches the Rfam family "Bacterial small subunit ribosomal RNA", at positions 8 to 859 of the family's 1533-position model. Lineage: Bacteria; Bacillati; Bacillota; Clostridia; Eubacteriales; Desulfitobacteriaceae. The record is from RNAcentral.
AGAGUUUGAUCCUGGCUCAGGACGAACGCUGGCGGCGUGCUUAACACAUGCAAGUCGAACGGAGAGAAUUCUAAGUUUACUUAGAAGGAUCUUAGUGGCGGACGGGUGAGUAACGCGUGGGUAACCUACCCAACAAACCGGGACAACCCUUGGAAACGAGGGCUAAUACCGGAUACGCUUAUAGGUUGGCAUCAACGUAUAAGGAAAGGCGGCCUCUGAAUAUGCUGUCGAUGAUGGAUGGACCCGCGUCUGAUUAGCUAGUUGGUGGGGUAAAGGCCUACCAAGGCGACGAUCAGUAGCCGGCCUGAGAGGGUGAACGGCCACACUGGGACUGAGACACGGCCCAGACUCCUACGGGAGGCAGCAGUGGGGAAUCUUCCGCAAUGGACGAAAGUCUGACGGAGCAACGCCGCGUGUAUGAUGAAGGUCUUCGGAUUGUAAAGUACUGUUUUUAGGGAAGAACGGUUUCUUCAGGAAUAUGGAGGAGACAUGACGGUACCUAAGGAGGAAGCCCCGGCUAACUACGUGCCAGCAGCCGCGGUAAUACGUAGGGGGCGAGCGUUGUCCGGAAUUAUUGGGCGUAAAGGGCGCGUAGGCGGGUAUUUAAGUCCGGUGUGAAAGAUCAGGGCUCAACCCUGAGAGUGCAUCGGAAACUGGGUAUCUUGAGGACAGGAGAGGAAAGUGGAAUUCCACGUGUAGCGGUGAAAUGCGUAGAUAUGUGGAGGAACACCAGUGGCGAAGGCGACUUUCUGGACUGUAACUGACGCUGAGGCGCGAAAGCGUGGGGAGCAAACAGGAUUAGAUACCCUGGUAGUCCACGCCGUAAACGAUGAGUGCUAGGUGUAGGGGGUAUCGACCCCUCCUGUGCCGGAGUUAACACA